This 800-nucleotide ribosomal RNA is filed under the name Sulfitobacter sp. RNAcentral's name for it is "bacterial SSU rRNA". It matches the Rfam family "Bacterial small subunit ribosomal RNA", at positions 66 to 913 of the family's 1533-position model. The record is from RNAcentral. Lineage: Bacteria; Pseudomonadati; Pseudomonadota; Alphaproteobacteria; Rhodobacterales; Roseobacteraceae.
GCGAGACCUUCGGGUCUAGCGGCGGACGGGUUAGUAACGCGUGGGAACGUGCCCUUCUCUGCGGAAUAGCCACUGGAAACGGUGAGUAAUACCGCAUACGCCCUUCGGGGGAAAGAUUUAUCGGAGAAGGAUCGGCCCGCGUUAGAUUAGAUAGUUGGUGGGGUAACGGCCUACCAAGUCUACGAUCUAUAGCUGGUUUUAGAGGAUGAUCAGCAACACUGGGACUGAGACACGGCCCAGACUCCUACGGGAGGCAGCAGUGGGGAAUCUUAGACAAUGGGCGCAAGCCUGAUCUAGCCAUGCCGCGUGUGUGAUGAAGGUCUUAGGAUCGUAAAGCACUUUCGCCAGGGAUGAUAAUGACAGUACCUGGUAAAGAAACCCCGGCUAACUCCGUGCCAGCAGCCGCGGUAAUACGGAGGGGGUUAGCGUUGUUCGGAAUUACUGGGCGUAAAGCGCGCGUAGGCGGAUUGGAAAGUUGGGGGUGAAAUCCCGGGGCUCAACCCCGGAACUGCCUCCAAAACUAUCAGUCUAGAGUUCGAGAGAGGUGAGUGGAAUUCCAAGUGUAGAGGUGAAAUUCGUAGAUAUUUGGAGGAACACCAGUGGCGAAGGCGGCUCACUGGCUCGAUACUGACGCUGAGGUGCGAAAGUGUGGGGAGCAAACAGGAUUAGAUACCCUGGUAGUCCACACCGUAAACGAUGAAUGCCAGUCGUCGGGCAGUAUACUGUUCGGUGACACACCUAACGGAUUAAGCAUUCCGCCUGGGGAGUACGGUCGCAAGAUUAAAACUCAAAGGAAUUGA